AACGAACGCUGGCGGUGUGCUUAACACAUGCAAGUCGAACGAGAAAGUUUCCUUCGGGAAGCUAGUAAAGUGGCGCAAGGGUGAGUAACACGUGAAUAAUCUGCCCUCGAGAUCGGGAUAACCUGAGGAAACUUAGGCUAAUACCGGAUAAGACCACAUUUCAUAUGGAAUGUGGGAAAAGGAGUCUCAAUCUUCACUCGAGGAUGAGUUCGCGGACCAUUAGCUUGUUGGUGAGAUAAAAGCUCACCAAGGCAACGAUGGUUAGCCGGCCUGAGAGGGCGAUCGGCCACACUGGGACUGAGACACUGCCCAGACUUCUACGGAAGGCUGCAGUCGAGAAUCUUUCGCAAUGCCCGAAAGGGUGACGAAGCGACGCCGCGUGAGUGAGG
RNAcentral lists this ribosomal RNA (389 nucleotides) under uncultured Nitrospina sp. RNAcentral describes it as "bacterial SSU rRNA". It matches the Rfam family "Bacterial small subunit ribosomal RNA", at positions 29 to 410 of the family's 1533-position model. Lineage: Bacteria; Pseudomonadati; Nitrospinota; Nitrospinia; Nitrospinales; Nitrospinaceae. The record is from RNAcentral.